Molecule: ribosomal RNA, 475 nt
Filed under: uncultured bacterium
Lineage: Bacteria
Description: bacterial SSU rRNA
Rfam family: Bacterial small subunit ribosomal RNA
Source: RNAcentral
ACGCUGGCGGCGUGCUUAACACAUGCAAGUUGAACGGGGAUAUUGAUUUCGGUUAGUAUCCUAGUAGCGGACGGGUGAGUAACGCGUGAGCAACCUACCUUUGGUGAGGGGGACAACAGCUGGAAACGGCUGCUAAUACCGCAUAAGGCCACGACCUCGAUUGGGGAUGUGGUAAAAGAUUUAUCGCACAAAGAUGGGCUCGCGUCCCCAUUAGCUAGUUGGUGAGGUAACGGCUCACCAAGGCGACGAUGGGUAGCCGACCUGAGAGGGUGAUCGGCCACACUGGAACUGAGACACGGUCCAGACUCCUACGGGAGGCAGCAGUGGGGAAUAUUGGGCAAUGGGGCCGCAAGCCUGACCCAGCAACGCCGCGUGAGGGGAGAAGGUCUUCGGAUUGUAAACCUCUGUCCCAGGGGACGAAAUAAAUGACGGUACCCUGGGAGGAAGCUCCGGCUAACUACGUGCCAGCCGCCGC